UUGAACGCUGGCGGCAUGCCUUACACAUGCAAGUCGAACGGCAGCACGGGUGCUUGCACCUGGUGGCGAGUGGCGAACGGGUGAGUAAUACAUCGGAACACGUCCUGUAGUGGGGGAUAGCCCGGCGAAAGCCGGAUUAAUACCGCAUACGAUCUACGGAUGAAAGCGGGGGACCUUCGGGCCUCGCGCUAUAGGGUUGGCCGAUGGCUGAUUAGCUAGUUGGUGGGGUAAAGGCCUACCAAGGCGACGAUCAGUAGCUGGUCUGAGAGGACGACCAGCCACACUGGGACUGAGACACGGCCCAGACUCCUACGGGAGGCAGCAGUGGGGAAUUUUGGACAAUGGGCGAAAGCCUGAUCCAGCAAUGCCGCGUGUGUGAAGAAGGCCUUCGGGUUGUAAAGCACUUUUGUCCGGAAAGAAAUCCUUGGCCCUAAUACGGUCGGGGGAUGACGGUACCGGAAGAAUAAGCACCGGCUAACUACGUG
This 485-nucleotide ribosomal RNA is filed under the name uncultured bacterium. RNAcentral describes it as "partial 16S ribosomal RNA". It matches the Rfam family "Bacterial small subunit ribosomal RNA", at positions 30 to 507 of the family's 1533-position model. The record is from RNAcentral.